Long non-coding RNA from Astatotilapia calliptera (eastern happy), 1741 nucleotides. The record is from Ensembl. NCBI's taxonomy places the organism in Eukaryota, Metazoa, Chordata, Actinopteri, Cichliformes, Cichlidae.
GGAAAAUAGCGUAAAAACAUGAUUGAAAUGUUCAUCUUUGGGCACAUUUUCCUUUAAAUGUGGAGGAAGAGUUUCAUAAUGCGCAAGUUUGCUCUAAUUUGCACGACAAGAAGGCGACAUGCGGACUGAUAAGUGGCAUUCUAAUAAUAGUUGGACUACACGUAUCGAUAAUGUAGCCCAUUCUAAUUUACAACUCUGCCUCUAAUUAGUCAGUCCCAUGUGCUCGUGUAAUAAACACGCUAAAAAAAAGUAGGCUUGGCUAAAUUCCCAGAACUCCACUAAUCUGCACAUCAUCUCCUUUCCUUUUCCAGACACUAUUGAUCAAACUCGGGCUUUUUCGUCACUAUUGAUAACUUUGCCUAAGCGAAAUCAAGUGCAAUUGUCCAGUUAAUGUCGGGGACAGAGGCACGGAUACAUUUUGUUCUUAUUCUUUUUUUUUCUUUUUCUUCUUUUUUUAAGACGUGGGCACUUUUCCAGAAAAAAAGAACAACUCUACUUUUUUUUUUUUUUAAUUCCUACUCCAACAAAAGACAUGUUGGCAGACUUGUCAAACAUACGUGCGGACUCUCGUGCUAAGUCUCUCCGUUACUUUUUUUAAAAAGUGGGACCGGUGAUCGUAAACGUUGUUUAACGAGGGGGAAUCCAGCCCACAUAUUUAUUGCAGCCGCUGAAAAAAAUCUCCUCAAUAUCCCCCAAGAUGGCCGCCGAUGUAGGAUCGAUGUUUCAAUAUUGGAAGAAAUUUGAUCUACGGCGGCUGCAGGUUAGUGCUAUUCUCACCUUUCUCGCUUUAUUUUUCAGCGGUAUGCCUUGCUACUGUACUCCGGGUUGUGUUUGCUUGUUUUGGGCGGACGUGAAGCGAAAGGAAGCGCUGUUUGCAUUGAUAGUUAUUAGAAAUUGAUCCCUCUCCUGCCUUUGUUCAGUUCAAUCAUUGAUCAGCGGUGGAGCGACCGCGGAGCAGCACAGCCUUCUGUGCCACACCGAUCUGGGAUCAGCACCGCGGACAGCACUGAUGUUUAUGCAUUAGCUUUUCUUCUUCUUCUUCUUCUUUUUUUUUUUUUACUCAUUAUUGUCCGCGACGAGCACAGCCGUACUUACAUGUACGGAAACUUUUAAUGCGCCUCCGAAUCGCUGUCCUUGGACGUAGGCUGUAACUUUUUCUCCCAGCUUAAUGUUUUAUGCGGUUUGUGUCGACGGUCGUUGCGUUGCUGCUGCACCUUUCAGCAGGCUACAGUGCAUUUCUUUGAAUUUUACAUUUUCUGCUCCGAAGGAUUUGCAUGUCGGGAAGUUUUUAAGUGUGACGUGGAAAGUUAAUUUAGUUAUUUUGCUCGGACAUUUUUAUUAUGAUAAAAUAUUUAAUGUGCGGACUAGUGUUUGGGCUGUAUUGACACAGUAGACUACUGUUAGGCUACAUUCACACAGCGUUUAUUCGCGGUUCACAGACGACCUUUUUCUUUUAAUUUUUAAAAAUUUUUUUGGACUGUCAUGUCGCUGGCACCAAAAUGUUUGUGAUUAAUAGCGAGGAGAAUGUGGCAGGUGAGCGGUUUGUUUGUAUCACAGCCAUAACAUGUAGUCCCGUUAAAUAGCAUGUCAGCCUCCGUAGCCUUUGGCUACAGCUUGAGCCACUCAAACUCAAAGUUGGAUUUAUGAAGCACGGCGCUGACGGACUCGUAGCUCGCUCCUGGUCCUGGAAGCAAACGUUGAAAUAAGGUUGAGGAAAGCUAAACGCUGUUUUCAGUGUCCA